UGAGCCAAAAACGUGAUGGCUUG
RNAcentral lists this non-coding RNA (23 nucleotides) under Rattus norvegicus (Norway rat). The record is from RNAcentral. Lineage: Eukaryota; Metazoa; Chordata; Mammalia; Rodentia; Muridae.